This is a long non-coding RNA of Gorilla gorilla gorilla (western lowland gorilla), 484 nucleotides long. RefSeq lists it as uncharacterized. The record is from RefSeq and is a predicted model, not a curated record. NCBI's taxonomy places the organism in Eukaryota, Metazoa, Chordata, Mammalia, Primates, Hominidae. The transcript has 2 exons.
GUGGGACACUUGGGUUGAUUCUGUACCUCUUCUCUACAGGAGGCAAGGCUGUGCAAUGGUUCAUAGACAGCCCAGCAAACGCUCUGUAAUGAGGCUUGGAAUUUCAACCUCACUGUCUUGAGCAGAGGAGAAAUGGGCAAUAUGACAUAUGGAGGUGCCACUGAAACAAAACACCCCAAAAUCUUGAGUCAACACAGUGGGGAUAGCACUCUGGAGUCCACACUGGAACUGCAGUGGGUUUGUCUGAAUGACAAAUACACUUGUGACUGGGAGUUUGGAGCGACAACCUGCAUGUCAUGCAUUUUCCAGUUUUGCUUUGCUUUGAGAGCUGCAGAGCCAUGGGAAGAAUUUAAGCAGGAAAAUGAUGGGGCCUGGACUACUGAUUAGAGAGAUCAUUCAUUCCUUGACCAACAUAAAGGAACUAAGUGGAAGAGACAUGAUUGGAACCCAGGUCAGCCCAGUAACAAAGCCUGCAUUCUGAAAA